RNAcentral lists this ribosomal RNA (433 nucleotides) under uncultured bacterium. RNAcentral describes it as "partial 16S ribosomal RNA". It matches the Rfam family "Bacterial small subunit ribosomal RNA", at positions 29 to 507 of the family's 1533-position model. The record is from RNAcentral.
AACGAACGCUGGCGGCAUGCCUAACACAUGCAAGUCGAACGAGACCUUCGGGUCUAGUGGCGCACGGGUGCGUAACGCGUGGGAACCUGCCCUUAGGUUCGGAAUAACUCCCCGAAAGGGGUGCUAAUACCGGAUAAUGUCUUCGGACCAAAGAUUUAUCGCCCUUGGAUGGGCCGGCGUUGGAUUAGCUAGUUGGUAGGGUAAAAGCCUACCAAGGCGACGAUCCAUAGCUGGUCUGAGAGGAUGAUCAGCCACACUGGGACUGAGACACGGCCCAGACUCCUACGGGAGGCAGCAGUGGGGAAUAUUGGACAAUGGGCGAAAGCCUGAUCCAGCAAUGCCGCGUGAGUGAUGAAGGCCUUAGGGUUGUAAAGCUCUUUUACCCGGGAUGAUAAUGACAGUACCGGGAGAAUAAGCUCCGGCUAACUCCGUG